RNAcentral lists this ribosomal RNA (460 nucleotides) under uncultured bacterium. Its description in RNAcentral is "partial 16S ribosomal RNA". It matches the Rfam family "Bacterial small subunit ribosomal RNA", at positions 338 to 795 of the family's 1533-position model. The record is from RNAcentral.
CCUACGGGUGGCAGCAGUGAGGAAUAUUGGUCAAUGGACGCAAGUCUGAACCAGCCAAGCCGCGUGCAGGAAGACGGCCCUAUGAGUUGUAAACUGCUUUUGUACGAGGGUAAACUACGAUACGUGUAUCUCUCUGCAAGUACCGUACGAAUAAGGAUCGGCUAACUCCGUGCCAGCAGCCGCGGUAAUACGGAGGAUUCAAGCGUUAUCCGGAUUUAUUGGGUUUAAAGGGUGCGUAGGCGGGCGGUUAAGUUAGAGGUGAAAUCCCGAGGCUCAACUUCGGAAUUGCCUCUGAUACUGGUCGGCUAGAGUGAAGUGGCGGUAGGCGGAAUGUAUGGUGUAGCGGUGAAAUGCUUAGAGAUCACACAGAACACCGAUUGCGAAGGCAGCUUACCAGGCUACAACUGACGUUGAGGCACGAAAGUGUGGGGAGCAAACAGGAUUAGAUACCCGGGUAGUC